Long non-coding RNA from Raphanus sativus (radish), 544 nucleotides. RefSeq lists it as uncharacterized. The record is from RefSeq and is a predicted model, not a curated record. The transcript is spliced from 2 exons. Lineage: Eukaryota; Viridiplantae; Streptophyta; Magnoliopsida; Brassicales; Brassicaceae.
CCCGACGUGAACGUUCCUGUAAGCGAACUCAACUCCGAUGGUUGGUUUAGAGUCUAACCGGAACUCGUCUUUGGAAAAUCUUGACAAGAGGUUUGAUUUUCCCACGGCUGAGUCUCCGAUCAGCACCGACUUGAAUAGGUUUGAUGAUGACUAUAUGUUGCAACAAAGAAGGACAAAGGUGAAGUAAAGGAAGAAAUGAAAAGGGAAGGAAAGUUUCUCCGCUGAAUAUGGCUUUUGGUUGAAAAUAGUACUUGAUGAAAUUUUAUAGUCAAAAACAUUAAUAAUAUUUUGAAAUAGUGACUAUGUAGAGUACUCUUGUAUAAAAGAAAAAAAAAACUGAUUUAGAAAAAGGAUAUAGGAUCAGAUAAGGAUGGCGUCAAAGAGAUUGUAAUAAUGCUAUUGAAUCAAUAGAAUGGAGUAUUAAUUAAGUGUUUUGUCGAUUAGGUUUUAAGAAUUAAUAAGAGAGGGAUCACAAUCAUAAGUGCAGCUGUUGGCAUGUGAAAUCAUGGAUUACAACAUAAUGAUAAUGGUGCCUUCCUUUUUA